CCUACGGGAGACAGCAGUGGGGAAUAUUGCGCAAUGGGCGAAAGCCUGACGCAGCGACGCCGCGUGAGGGAUGAAGGUCUUCGGAUCGUAAACCUCUGUCAGCAGGGAAGAACGGUCACUGUGCUAAUCAGCAGUGAAUUGACGGUACCUGCAAAGGAAGCACCGGCUAACUCCGUGCCAGCAGCCGCGGUAAUACGGAGGGUGCGAGCGUUAAUCGGCAGUACUGGGCGUAAAGCGCUCGUAGGCGGUAUGGCAAGUCAAGGGUGAAAUCCCCGCGCUCAACGUGGGAACUGCAUGUGAAACUGGCAAACUGGAGUGUGUGAGAGGAUAGUGGAA
This 336-nucleotide ribosomal RNA is filed under the name uncultured bacterium. Its description in RNAcentral is "partial 16S ribosomal RNA". It matches the Rfam family "Bacterial small subunit ribosomal RNA", at positions 338 to 666 of the family's 1533-position model. The record is from RNAcentral.